This 495-nucleotide ribosomal RNA is filed under the name uncultured Diversispora. RNAcentral describes it as "SSU rRNA". It matches the Rfam family "Eukaryotic small subunit ribosomal RNA", at positions 569 to 1067 of the family's 1831-position model. Lineage: Eukaryota; Fungi; Glomeromycota; Glomeromycetes; Diversisporales; Diversisporaceae. The record is from RNAcentral.
AGCAGCCGCGGUAAUUCCAGCUCCAAUAGCGUAUAUUAAAGUUGUUGCAGUUAAAAAGCUCGUAGUUGAACUUCGGGGUUUACCCAUUGGUCAGGCUUAAUUGUCUGUACUGGUGAGAUGAAUCUCUACCUUCUGAGGAACUUUCAUGCCAUUUAUUUGGUGUGAUGGGAAAUCAGGACUGUUACUUUGAAAAAUUAGAGUGUUUAAAGCAGGCUAACGUCUGAAUACAUUAGCAUGGAAUAAUGAAAUAGGACGGACUGAUUCUAUUUCGUUGGUUUCUAGGAUCACCGUAAUGAUUAAUAGGGAUAGUUGGGGGCAUUAGUAUUCAAUUGUCAGAGGUGAAAUUCUUGGAUUUAUUGAAGACUAACUACUGCGAAAGCAUUUGCCAAGGAUGUUUUCAUUAAUCAAGAACGGAAGUUAGGGGAUCGAAGACGAUCAGAUACCGUCGUAGUCUUAACCAUAAACUAUGCCGACUAGGGAUCGGACGAAGUUAAU